AUUUCCAGAACUCUAUACUGUGAAGGUCUGUACUUAGAAAUAUUUAACAUUUCCAUAUCAAUAUGACUUAGAAGCAACUAACAAUGUUGAAAGAUGUAUUGUUAUUAUCUUCAGCAAUUUAUGUCCCUACAUACCAUUAUGUAUAAGGCCAUUGCAAGCGUAGAAAUCCCUUGAAAAAUCAAGACAAAUCUAUUAAUAUCACAAUAUGAUUUGUAUAUAUGAAUCAUCUCAUAUCUUCUCUUGAAUUACCACUUCAAUAGCCUUUAAGAACCCAUAUUGAUACAUAAAAUACUAGAACUUUUUGAAAUGUGGGUGGUAACUGUUUAAAAGCUGUCCUCAGAGUCUUCCAUUAUACAGUCACAGAACAACUUCUGUUUACUUUCAUUCAGGUCACAACAGAAAGUUGCAGCAGCAUUCUAGAAUUACUGUAUUUAAAUAUAAGUAAUUGGAAAAAUAUGUAAACAUGCAAAUGCUUUAUACUUAUUUAUUUUCAGGAGAUCAUAAAUCAUGCUAGCUAAAUACAAUCUGCAAAUGCAAACAAGAUCAUCAUAUUAUUUUGUUUUACUUGUAUACUUAGACAUAGAGCAUAUAUAUACCUACUGCAAAUACUUUUAAGAAAAAUGAAAUUAUAAUGCUAGAAGAAUGAGGAAUGCAUAUUUUUGCCACGUUGCAGCAUUUUCUUUUGCUUUAUAAAUUAAUAAUUUGCUGAUAGCAUAUAAAUUUUAGACUUUGUGGAGCUUAAAAUGAUAUUGCAGUGUUUUUAAGUAAAAUUAAUAAACCAUCUUAUAAUAAUGUGGUACCACUGCAUGAAUUUUCUAUUGUGUGUGAAUGUUGUGUGAACAAGUUAGUUGUAGUGUCUCUGACUUUGCCUUUCAAUAAGGCAAGACUAAAAAUUAAUUUAGUUGCAUGGCUUAAGUCUGAAAAAGAUGUAAAUCUACAACUUAAUUGAACGUUAUUUCCUUACAUAAAGGUAAAGCUGAAUUCAAACACAGCUUCAAUUAUGAGUAAAUAGUUUAACUUUGUGAUAAAAUUAAACUUCUUAAUUAAACAAUUAACUUUAAGGAGGAAAGUAUAAAUUGAAGAAUAUGUCAAUUAAUUUUCUCAACAGUUUAUCUUAUUACAGAUUCUUUCAGAAUGGUGAUGCUCAUUAUUUAAAAGUGGCAAAUGAGAAUACAAUAAGGUUUUUGCAAGAGUACAUCUUUAGGCCAACAUAAUUCAGGGACUCUAGAGGUCAGGAGUUAGUCUAAUUUGGAAAACUAACAUGAGAAUGCAAGACAAAACCUUUGUUUCUUCCAUUAGGCCUCCUUCUUGUUUAGUUAUGUGCUUUUUUUUUUUUUUUUAAUUUAUUUGACAGGCAGAGUUAGACAGAGAGGGAGACAGAGAGACAGGUCCUCCUUCCGUUGGAUCACCGCCCAAAUGGCCACUACGGCCGGUGCGCUGUGCCGAUCUGAAGCCAGGAGCCAGGUGCUUCCUCCUGGUCUCCCAUUCGGGUGCAGGGCCCAAGCACUUGGGCCAUCCUCCACUGCCUACCCGGGCCACAGGAGGGAGCUGGACUGGAAGAGGAGCAACCGGGACUAGAACCGGCGCCCAUAUGAGAUGCCAGCGCCGCAGGCAGAGGAUUAACCAAGUGAGCCACGGCACCAGCCCCUUAGUUAUGUGCUCUUUUAUUUGAGAUUCUAACUCAAAAAUUACAAAUAGUUUUAUUACUUGAGAAAAAAUUUACUUUAAUAAUGUUUGAAUCACUUAAGAUAGACAUUUUGUUUGUAUGUGUUAAAUAUGUAGAGUUAAAUAACAUACAUACUGAUUUCAAAAAGUUUGUAGAAAAUGCAGUUUAAAAAGUAAUUUCCCGUGAAAUUUUUGAAGACCUCAUGUAUUUCUGAACACUAAACAUAUCCUCUUUACCUUUAUUCAAUAUUUCUUGCUCCAUGCUAGGCCUAUGUUUUUAAAUCAGAGUCGGUAUGUUUUCAAAGAAGGGGUAUAUAAGCCAUGCUUAGGCAUGUGUUUAAUUCUUGUAGCAUUUCUAUUUAAAUUUGUUUUUAUAAAAUUUUUAUUACAGAAUAGUUUUACAUUUACAAAAGAAAGCCUCUGAAGUGGUAUAAAGAUUUUCCAUGUAACCCAUGCCCAGCUCCCACUUUUGUUAGCAUGGUAUUAGUAUGAUAUAUCUGUCACAAUUUAUUAAGCAUAUCCAGCUUUUCCAUUGUCAACAUUUCAUGCUGCUAUAUUUACCACAAUAAAUGAAGUACACCCAGUUUCCCCUAUUUUUUUAAAUCAAACUUCCUCUUUCCGGCCAGCGCUACGGCUCACUAGGCUAAUCCUCCACCUGCAGCACUGGCACACUGGGUUCUAGUCCCGGUUGGGGCGCCGGAUUCUGUCCCGGUUGCCCCUCUUCCAGUCCAGCUCUCUGCUGUGGCCCGGGAGUGCAGUGGAGGAUGGCCCAAGUGCUUGGGCCCUGCACCCCAUGGGAGACCAGGAGAAGCACCUGGCUCCUGGCUUCGGAUCAGCAUCGUACGCUGGCCACAGUGAGCUGGCCGCAGCGGCCAUUGGAGGGUGAACCAACGGUAAAGGAAGACCUUUCUCUCUGUCUCUCUCUCUCACUGACCACUCUGCCUGUCAAAAAAAAAUAAAUAAAUAAAAAGAAAAAAAAACUUCCUCUUUCCCUCACAAAGCUGUUACUUUAUUCUUUACUGUGUUCCAUUCUUUUGCUGGCCACAUAAGGAUGGUGAACUUUUGAAAUUAGCAAUUAGUAUACUUAUUGAAUAUUUCUCAGUAUAAAAUUUUGCUUCUCUAAAUCAAACAAACUAAAAGAACUUCUUGAUACUAUCUUGAAUAUAUUUCAGUGGGUCAAAUUAAAAGUUAAUGAUUUUACCAUAUUAAUGAACAUAAUUACUUAUUAAAAGUUGAUUGACAUAUGGGCAGUUUUCCAAUUACAUUAAUAAAGUUCAGGGAAUACAUUAAUAGACUUGUCCAUCAAUUCAAAAACUAAAUAAAUGUCAUAAAAAGUCAGCCCCACUUAAGCUACAUUUUCUCUCAAUGAACAGAAUAAACUUUCAAUCUUUAAUUGUAUAUCUGGAUAGUCUUGAAGCAUAUGCUCAUUGCUUAACAAUUUGUCAAUCCUUUAUUAACCAAGAUAAAGAAAUCUAGCAACUGAGGGAAGACUUUAUUAAUCACUGAUGUCAAACAGAGAUUGGCUGGUAGAAACAAAACCGAUUUUCAAUUGUUUCAACAUUCUGCAUAAGGUAGGUAUUGAAAUAAAAUUAUGUUAGAAAGAGAAUGAUAAAGAGGAUAUCUUGUCAACACAGACACUAUGCAUGUGGAACUCAUUUGUGCUGGUGAUUUUUUGAGCUAACCACAAAAAUCAAUGCAGUUAUAAGGGAGGAACACCAUUAGAGCAGGAGUUAGAAAACUUGAAUUCUAAUUCUGAAAGUGACCACCAAAAAUAAGUAAAUAACAACCCUGUCUGAACUCUAGUUUUCUCAUUUAAGGGAGGUUCAGAACCAGAUCUACAUUCAGAUCCAGAAGGUCUCUAAGGUCUAUUGCCAGUCAAAGUAGAAAGAAAAAAUGACUAAAAUAAAUAAAAUAUAAGUACAAUAAACAAAAAUAAAACAAAACAAAAAACCACUAUUAUUAUUUUCUUUCGAAUUACAUGUGAAAAAGGUAGUUAAUUUAAAAGUGAAAAAAUUUUCGUACUUUACUUUGAACACCAUGGAAACUAAUUUUUACACAUUACUCCUGGUAAUAUUUACUCCAAAGGUAUAUUUUCUUUCUUGUUGAAUUUUUUUCCUUUCACCAGCUGAGGUAAGCAAUUUAUGUAUUCAUGGAGUUUGAAGAAUGUGACAAGUUGGAGCUUGGUUUUUAGUUUCCUCCUGGCAUCUGACUUAUCUGGAAUAUUUGCAAUAAAUUGAGUAUAUGUAGUGAGCAGUGAGCAUUCAGUUGUUAGCUGUUUUGAGAAUAGCUUCAAGUAUAGAAAGCUACCUUGCCCAAGGUCAGUUCUUGCCUGGAAUAGUUGACGUGCAACGUAGAAUAAUUCUCAUGAGCCACUUUUUGCUCUGGAGUUUCAUUAUGGGACAGCUGAGGUUGUGGUCCAGAUUGCAUUACAGGUCAACUUUUUGCUCUGUUCAAUUCUAUCUCCUUUCUAUUUCUUCCCUAGGGAAUGAUUCAAAGAUAUUCUGUCAUUAAUAAUCUGGACUUUAAAUUUCAUCUUGUUUCAGAGUCUAAUUCCCAAAGAUCCCAAAGUGUGACAAUGUUAGACUCUUGUUUCAGGCUUAGUCAUUGUUUUGAGAAAGGCUUUGUAAAAUGGAAGGACAACACAUUCAAAAACCAUUUAUUAUUAACAUUAUGAAAGGGAUUUAAAACUUUAAAAAUAAGUAUUCAAGGCCGGCGCCGCGGCUCACUAGGCUAAUCCUCCGCCUAGCGGCGCCGGCACACCGGGUUCUAGUCCCGGUCGGGGCGCCGGAUUCUGUCCCGGUUGCCCCUCUUCCAGGCCAGCCCUCUGCUGUGGCCAGGGAGUGCAGUGGAGGAUGGCCCACGUGCUUGGGCCCUGCACCCCAUGGGAGACCAGGAGAAGUACCUGGCUCCUGCCUUCGGAUCAGUGCGGUGCACCAGCUGCAGCGCACCAGUCGUGGCGGCCAUUGGAGGGUGAACCAACGGCAAAGGAAGACCUUUCUCUCUGUCUCUCUCUCUCACUGUCCACUCUGCCUGUCAAAAAAAAAAAAAAAAAAAGUAUUCAAUACACCAAGAUAAGUAAGAUAAAUCGGAUGACAAAAAUAAAUAAUACAAGAUUAUAGUCAGAGGUGAGGUUAGAUCACAAAAUAUCUGUCACAGUCUCUAUAUACUUCAAUACCUUGAUUAAAAAACCAGAAAAACAAAGCAAAACAAAAAACCUUGAGUUCCAUUGUUUCUAACAACCAGUUCAUAGAGAGAAAAGCUUAUAAUUGGUUAUAUGCUUCAUGAUCCAUAAGGUUAAAAACUGCUUUUCUCAAUGCCCUGAUUUUGUUACCCAGAAUGGAGAAUCAUUACUACCAAAAGCCACCUUAGAGAAUCACUCUGAUGUAAAGAAAACUUCAACAGUAACUAUGUAGGACACAGAACUUAUUCAUAAGGUUUUCUCUUAUACCACCUCUAUCAAUAUUGUCUGAAUUGCAGAGAAGGAAAAAAAUUAAAUAUUGAAAAAAUUCAUCAUGAUACCAGUUUAGUUACAGAGAGAGAACUUUGAAUAUCACUAUAACUUACAAAUAAAUUUUGGAACCUAGCCUAUCUGAAGAAAACUUCCAUAAAUAUUAUUUCUCUCAAAGGAUCAUUCAAUAGGAAUUCAUGUGCAAAUACUUUAAAAUUACCCUUCCAAUGAGUAUCUGGAGAGCAAUUAGUCUAAGUGGCAUACUAUAAAUCCAUAUUUUUUAAAGACCAGAAUGUCUUAAUAUAAUGUUAAUGUUCUUUCUAUGACUGUUUAAGCCUUGACAAGGUGCACAUCUGAAGAGAAGGACAUCAUACUUCUGUUCCAGUUGGACCUUAUUGCUGAAAACAGCAUCACAGGACAUGGGUCUGCUUUCCUCAUAAAGACACAAAAGGGAAAAAGAUGUAAUGGCCAAAAAUCAAAAUACAAACAAACGAAAAAGCAUGCCACAAUGUCAUAUACAUUGGAAAAUUAAAAUGAUUGCUUUGCAACUGUGAGCAGUUCCAAAGUUUCAACAAGUAACAGUAACAAGUAACAAGUAAAUGUUCCAAGAGUCAUUUGUGAUCUGGAUGAUUUCCCUAAAUAUUCCUUUGCAGACAAAAUUAGUUCCAUUCAUCUGUGCUUAUAUAUGGAGAAUGUGAACACAGGCAUAUAUUACAAUAACGUAAUCCAAAAGGGCUCUA
Non-coding RNA from Oryctolagus cuniculus (rabbit), 5853 nucleotides. The record is from RefSeq and is a predicted model, not a curated record. NCBI's taxonomy places the organism in Eukaryota, Metazoa, Chordata, Mammalia, Lagomorpha, Leporidae.